ACUCCUAGCGGGAGGCAGCAAGUGAUGGAAUACUUGGUCAAUGGGCGCAAGCCUGAACCAGCCAUGCCGCGUGCAGGGAUGACGGUCCUAUGGAUUGUAAACUGCUUUUGUACGGGAAGAAACACUCCUUCGUGAAGGAGCUUCGACGGUACCGUAAGAAUAAGGAUCGGCUAACUCCGUGCCAGCAGCCGCGGUAAUACGGAGGAUCCAAGCGUUAUCCGGAAUCAUUGGGUUUAAAGGGUCCGUAGGCGGUUUUAUAAGUCAGUGGUGAAAUCCGGCAGCUCAACUGUCGAACUGCCAUUGAUACUGUAGAACUUGAAUUAUUGUG
This 328-nucleotide ribosomal RNA is filed under the name uncultured bacterium. Its description in RNAcentral is "bacterial SSU rRNA". It matches the Rfam family "Bacterial small subunit ribosomal RNA", at positions 335 to 654 of the family's 1533-position model. The record is from RNAcentral.